This 254-nucleotide ribosomal RNA is filed under the name uncultured prokaryote. Its description in RNAcentral is "partial 16S ribosomal RNA". It matches the Rfam family "Bacterial small subunit ribosomal RNA", at positions 524 to 777 of the family's 1533-position model. The record is from RNAcentral.
UACGAAGGGGGCUAGCGUUGCUCGGAAUUACUGGGCGUAAAGGGCGCGUAGGCGGACAGCUUAGUCAGAGGUGAAAGCCCAGGGCUCAACCUUGGAAUUGCCUUUGAUACUGGCUGUCUUGAGUUUGGGAGAGGUGAGUGGAACUCCGAGUGUAGAGGUGAAAUUCGUAGAUAUUCGGAAGAACACCAGUGGCGAAGGCGACUCACUGGCCCAAUACUGACGCUGAGGCGCGAAAGCGUGGGGAGCAAACAGGA